Molecule: ribosomal RNA, 402 nt
Filed under: uncultured bacterium
Lineage: Bacteria
Description: bacterial SSU rRNA
Rfam family: Bacterial small subunit ribosomal RNA
Source: RNAcentral
UCGGGAAUAUUGGUAAUGUGCGAAAGCGCGAACCAGCAACGCCGCGUGCACGAUGAAGGCCUUCGGGUUGUAAAGUGCUUUUAGAGAGGAUGAGGAAGGACAGUACUUUCUGAAUAAGCCUCGGCUAACUACGUGCCAGCAGCCGCGGUAAAACGUAGGAGGCUAGCGUUAUCCGGAUUUACUGGGCGUAAAGCGCGUGCAGGUGGUUUCGUAAGUUGGAUGUGAAAGCUCCUGGCUUAACUGGGAGAGGUCGUUCAAAACUGCGAGGCUUGAAAGUGGUAGAGGGAGGUGGAAUUCCGGGUGUAGUGGUGAAAUGCGUAGAUAUCCGGAGGAACACCAGUGGCGAAAGCGGCCUCCUGGACCAUUUCUGACACUCAGACGCGAAAGCUAAGGUAGCAAACG